ACCAGCAAACACACAGUCUCAGUGUGGAGCUGAGGGCUCAGUUAUCGCUUCCCCUGCCUGGCAGACCUGAAGGAUGUAAACAGCUUGUGGUAAUACCAGGGCCCAAUCUAGCGCCAGUAAAAGAUCUCCCUCUCCACAGACCUCUGCAAUUACUCAGGAGGAUUGUAGACGGUUUUCAGUUACCCUAAAAACAUCCCGUGUAGGCCCGUCUUGUCCGUGGACAAGCAGACUGUAUGGAUCAUUUGUCUUUCCGUGGAUGCUUUUCCUCGCCCUCCACCACCUGUACAAGCAACUCUGGCCCUCGACGUGCAUCCCUUCAAUCAUUAUAACCUUCUCCCUCAGUCACUUCCUUGAUUUUAUAGCAACGUGUGCUCCGUUUUCCCUUUAGAUGUUCUGGAGCUUGGAUAGGAAUUUGAAUCCAUUCUUUGGGCUGUUUUCUGAGACCAGUUCUGUGUGGGGUCCUAAAGCUCCUUGUCAAUGUGGGAGGCGAUUUUGAGGCGAUGGAAGCCGCGUUGGCCCUUGCACUCCCCGCUCCCGGGGGCAGCGGGGUUCGGCAGAGAGCACGAUUUUACACAUAUUAAGUGCCUCUGAGUCCUGUAGAGAACCUCCAGCCCCAGACUUCCGCAUGAAACAAGGGCGCACAGACUGGAGCUGUGGGGGGCUGAGGAGAGCCGUUUAUUUGGAGAGCCUAGCACAGGAGGCGGCCCUGUCUCUAUGGCUCUGAAGAGACCACCUUUAGACUGCUAAGUGCUGCCCUGGUCUCUUUAAGAAGGGUUCAAUGUCAGCAAGCUCGAAGCCAAGCAGAAGAAAAACAGCCGAAAGGAAGAAGGCUCGGGGGGAGUGACUCCACUAGGCCAGCCGAGAGGGAACCGGGUCUCUCCUCCUUGACUGAGUAACAGCCAGUGGGGCAUGCAGGCACCCCGGCAAGUGCUACUGAGCAUCAACUCCUAGGAGCCAGGCCUUACUAAAGGACAAAGGAUGAGCACAGGACACAACCCAUUCAAAGGCUUCCCAGCCUUAGCCGUGGCCUCCAGCACCUCUCACAUAAGCAGCCAGUAAUGGAGUCUCCCAUGGAGGCGUUGGAGCUCAACCUUCUAAAGCCAGAUCCAACAACUACCCAUUUGAAUAGUUGGCCGGUGGCUCGGAGCCAGGCGUUCCUGUGGCAGGAUUACAUCUUCCUGUCUUCUUCUUUCUCCUCCUUGGCAUUCGUAGACCCAGCAGAGACCCUGCAGGGAUGGAUAACCUGCUUUUUAGGUGCUGGGAGACGGGGACAUACCAGCUCAGUAAGGAACGAUGAAAAAUAAAGUUUCCCUGAUUAGACAAGACCCGCAGAUCACUGGGAGUAGAAUCUGAAACUGUUCUCUGUAUUGCUCAAGAAGUCAUUCUCCACACUCAUCAGAGAGCUGAUGUCACCCCAUCCCUGCUCAACUACACAAAGUUAACUGAAAACCUGGUGCUUUUUGACUUCUAAAAGGCUGAAAGUGGAGGAGUAAAUAAAAUGAUAAGGAGAAGAAAAGGCAGGUUGAUCAGCUGAGUGGCCUCAAUAUCAUCUCGUUAUGAAUUGCUGUAAGCAAUGCUACUGAAUUGUCAAUUUUAUCAGCCAAAUGUAAUUUUUGUGUGUCUGUGUGUGAUAGAAUAAAUAUUGCACAUCUCAGCCAGCCUAUGCCUUUCAU
Macaca mulatta (Rhesus monkey) is the source of this 1673-nucleotide non-coding RNA. The record is from RefSeq and is a predicted model, not a curated record. NCBI's taxonomy places the organism in Eukaryota, Metazoa, Chordata, Mammalia, Primates, Cercopithecidae.